This 370-nucleotide ribosomal RNA is filed under the name Herbaspirillum sp. 84R. RNAcentral's name for it is "bacterial SSU rRNA". It matches the Rfam family "Bacterial small subunit ribosomal RNA", at positions 969 to 1343 of the family's 1533-position model. Lineage: Bacteria; Pseudomonadati; Pseudomonadota; Betaproteobacteria; Burkholderiales; Oxalobacteraceae. The record is from RNAcentral.
CCUUACCUACCCUUGACAUGGAUGGAAUCCUGAAGAGAUUUGGGAGUGCUCGAAAGAGAACCAUCACACAGGUGCUGCAUGGCUGUCGUCAGCUCGUGUCGUGAGAUGUUGGGUUAAGUCCCGCAACGAGCGCAACCCUUGUCAUUAGUUGCUACGAAAGGGCACUCUAAUGAGACUGCCGGUGACAAACCGGAGGAAGGUGGGGAUGACGUCAAGUCCUCAUGGCCCUUAUGGGUAGGGCUUCACACGUCAUACAAUGGUACAUACAGAGGGCCGCCAACCCGCGAGGGGGAGCUAAUCCCAGAAAGUGUAUCGUAGUCCGGAUUGGAGUCUGCAACUCGACUCCAUGAAGUUGGAAUCGCUAGUAAUC